CAUUUCCAUAAAAAUAAUUCUCUUGCAUCUUCUGGUGAUAAUAAUAAAUUUGACAUU
This 57-nucleotide small RNA is filed under the name Paraphysomonas vestita. Its description in RNAcentral is "partial Mitochondrion-encoded tmRNA". Lineage: Eukaryota; Chrysophyceae; Chromulinales; Paraphysomonadaceae. The record is from RNAcentral.